RNAcentral lists this long non-coding RNA (2992 nucleotides) under Equus caballus (horse). RNAcentral describes it as "lncRNA (ENSECAG00000055009.1)". The record is from RNAcentral. Lineage: Eukaryota; Metazoa; Chordata; Mammalia; Perissodactyla; Equidae.
CUGAGAAAUGCAUUGUCGGGUGAUUUCAUAGUAUGAGUAUCACAGAGUGUACUUACACAGAUGUAGCCAGGAUGGCCUACUACACACCUAGGCUCUAUGGUAGUAGCCUUAUGUCUUGUGGGUCACCGUGGUAUACCCAUCAUGGACCGAAAUGUCGUUGGGUGGUGCAUGACCGUAUUGCAAUCCUUCCUUUACCUUCUGAAAUGGCUAGGAAUUGUACCACAGUACCGAUGGGGAAACAGGCUGGAGCUCAAAGAGGUGGUGCACAUGCCCACAGUCACCCGGCUGAGCGGCAGACCAGAGCUCGAAUUCAGAUCUGACUCCUAAAUGCAUGAUUUUUCCAUCAGUACGUGGACUGAAGGAAUCUCUGUGCUCUUUGAAACUUCUGAAGCAGUCUGCCUGAGAUAAAGCAUGUGUCAGGGGAACUAAGGCACUUGAAAAGAACAGGGCAAAAUUCUGUGAAGAAACCACCUCACCAUGUCAGAGACGGUCUGAUUUCUCCCCGUAGCCUGAUUUCUCUGGGGAAUCCAUGGGCGCUCUGAAAUUGUUUGCAAACCUGUGUGGGCCUAUGUUCAUAUUCUAGGUGGUAAGGGCCUCAUCUCUUAUGGGAGUCUCAAAAUCUGUUAAUCUUCCUGCUCUAGACAUAGGAAACCAUCCAGGUUUUAUGAGUAAUCAUCAGUCUUUCUCGAUAUAAUGCUAGCUGCCCAUAACCCACAAAUAAAGACAGUGCUUUGGGAGGAGUCUAUAAAAUUUACAUAUAAAUAUGUUUGUUUUAUUUUUCAGCUUAGGCAACUCCUGUCCAGGCAGUUCUGGUCACAUGUAGGUAUGACAUAAAGGCAUAAAAGGUGCCCCCCAAAACAAAUGUAGAAGCUACCAAGUCAUUCCCAACUACGUACUGACUUUAUUAAAAUUCUUUAGAGCCAGCCCUAUUGGCCUAGUAGUUCAAGUUUGGUGCUCUUACUGCUUCGAUGGCCCAGGUUCAUUUCCCGGUAGUGGAACCACACCAUCUGUCUGUCAGCUGCCAUAAUGUGGCAGUGGCUCACACAGACGAACUAGAAGGACUUACAGCUAGGAUAUACAAGCAUGCACUGGGGCUUUGGGGAGGAAAAAAAAAUUCUUUAAAGCCUUGUGUCUGCAUGCCCUACUCAUUCCACUGACUCUUUCUAAGGCACUAGGCUCCCUUUGGUGAAGUGGCAAAGGCUAGUAGCCAGGGUGACCUCAUCUUCAACAGAGAAGUGUAAACAGGUAUGGGAAAGAGAACCAGAGUCAGAGUAAGGCACAGAUUUCUUCCUCCCACAUCUGUGCUGCCCAAACCUCCCUGCAUUGGUCUGGCUUCUCUAGAGAAACAGAACCAAUAAGACUGACUGAUUGAUGAGAAGGAAUUGGUUCACUUGGUUAUGGAAGAUAAGAAGUCCCAAGACCUGCAGUUGGCAAGCUGGAGAUGCAGGGGAGCUCAGACUACGAAGUCACGUGUCACUUAAGGACGGGGACACGUUCUGAGAAAUGUGUUGUUAGGUGAUUUCGUCAUUGUGGGAACAUCAUAGAGUGUACUCACACAAACCUAGAUAGUCUAGCCUACUACAUACCUAGGCUAUAUGGUACUAAUCUUAUGGGACCACUGUCAUAUAUGUGGUCCAUCAUUGACCGAAGCGUCGUUAUGCGGCCCAUGACUGUGGCUCCAGUCUGAGUCUGAGGCCACAGAAGCAGAAGAGCUGGUCUAAGUUCCAGUCUGAAGGUAGAAGAAAACUGGUGUCCCAGCUUGAAGAUAGUCAGGCAGAGAGAGUGAAUUCUCCCUUCCUCCACCUUUUUGUUCUGUUCAGGCCUUCCACAGACUGGAUGAGGCCCACCCACAUUGGGGAGGGAAUCCACUUUACUUAGUCUACUGCUUCAAAUGUUUAUCUCCUCCAGAAACGUCCUCACAGACAUACUCAGAAUAAUAUCUAACCACACUUCUGGGCAUCCCAUGCCCCAGUCAGGUUGACACAUAAAAUUAACCAUCAUACCCUCUGUUUCUUCACCCAUCGGUUUCCCUUCUCUCUAGGCCCAGAGGGAGAGAGUCCCGCUUCCUCUAAAGUGAACUCCUCUCCCUGUCCUCAAGCUUGUCUUUCAACCCCUAAGAAUCCUUGAGAAUUGCCUAAAGGUAGGGAAGCCAGCAAAGAGAGACACGCUAUCUUCAGGUAAUCCAUGACCCUGAUGCAGAAAAAGGCAUGGAUAUUGGGAAGAUGAAGCCAGAUUACAGAUCGCAAGCGGAUCAAACCUCCCCAAAUGCUGCAGGAAGGAUCCCCUGUGAGUGAUAGAAAACACAACACAAACAGCUUAAGCCCAACAGAAAUCGAUUGGCUGAACAUUGUGGAAAGUCCAGGGGAUAGUGACGUACACAGAAAUUUAUAUAAUACUAUAAAUCAAUGUUACUGCAAUUAAAAAAGAAGAAAAGAAAAAGAAAGUUCCAGGGGAGACACCUAGCAUCAGACACUGCUGGAUUCAGGGGCUCAGAUAAUGUCGUCAGGAACUAGCCUCUCGCCUUCUCUUUGCUCUCCUUUCAUCUGUGGUGGCUACUUCCUCAGAGAUGCCCUCUCUUUGGAGUGACAAGAUGACAGCCAGCAAUUCUAGGCUUAUAUUCUCCUAAGUGCAAGUCCAACAGUUCAAGGCAAAGUCCUGGACCUGACUCUCAGGGUCGUGAGUUGGACCACAUGACCAGUCCUGAACAGAUCACUGUGGCCAAGAGGAUGCUAUACUCCCACUGAUCAAGCCCAGUUGGACCCCUGCAGACUGCCGAGAGCUCUGUAACUCUUAUCUGCUUGACAUGAAACGUCCUUCAGGAGGUGAAUCCUACCAGCAACCAGGAGGAGCUUGGAAGGCUCUCCAGUGGAGACUUUGAGGAGGCCGCAGCCCCAGCCAGCACCUGCCGGCAGCCUUGUGACAUCCUGAGCAGCGGACCCAGCCAUGCUGUGCCUGGACUCCUGACCCACAGAAAUUUGAGAUAAUAAAUGUG